This 341-nucleotide ribosomal RNA is filed under the name Anaplasma ovis. RNAcentral describes it as "bacterial SSU rRNA". It matches the Rfam family "Bacterial small subunit ribosomal RNA", at positions 80 to 438 of the family's 1533-position model. The record is from RNAcentral. Lineage: Bacteria; Pseudomonadati; Pseudomonadota; Alphaproteobacteria; Rickettsiales; Anaplasmataceae.
CUGCGUGUAUGGUUAGUGGCAGACGGGUGAGUAAUGCAUAGGAAUCUGCCUAGUAGUAUAGGAUAGCCACUAGAAAUGGUGGGUAAUACUGUAUAAUCCCUGCGGGGGAAAGAUUUAUCGCUACUAGAUGAGCCUAUGUCAGAUUAGCUAGUUGGUGGGGUAAUGGCCCACCAAGGCUGUGAUCUGUAGCUGGUCUGAGAGGAUGAUCAGCCACACUGGAACUGAGACACGGUCCAGACUCCUACGGGAGGCAGCUGUGGGGAAUAUUGGACAAUGGGCGCAAGCCUGAUCCAGCUAUGCCGCGUGAGUGAGGAAGGCCUUAGGGUUGUAAAACUCUUACA